UUGGGAGGCUAGCUCAUAAUAAAAGCAUCUCUACUGGCCACAGCCCAGUGGGAAAGGAUGGCCUUCAGCCAAGCCAAGCACUCUUUUGCCAACCACACCCGAACUGUAGCAUCUGCUCUGCUUCUCCACUCAGCUCCAGUCAUGACGUGAACAUGACAUCUCUACAAACACCUUCCCAGAAUGAACGAAGUCUGCCCAGCAACCAAUUGGCUGGAAGCUUCAGUCCAGGAAGCACCAAUUACAGCAGCAUCUGUGAUAGUCCCUUAUGUUUUGUCUGAUGCGGAUGAGGUGCUACAAGUUGUCAGCCGCAGACCUCUCUCGUGUGGCCUUGCCCGAUGUCACACUCUUGCAUCAUGAGGUGAAGAUGGAGUGUGUUGUCUCAGCCACAGACGGAUGUCCGCAGUUGGCCUCUGGAGUCUCAGACCACAAAGUGAGAGGAGUAAUUGAGUAUCAGUGGUCAGCCCCCUUCAGGCUUACUAAAGGGGGAAGAGAUCAUGCCUCCAAAUACCUUUAAGCUCAGUCGAAUCUGGCACACAUUAAUCUCUCUGCUUCCAACUGUUUAAAAGCCUACUGAACUUUUGAGAUUUUCACAAACUGCAGGAUAGCUGAAAGUUUGGAAUAAAUAAUUAAUCUGCUUUAAAACAUACAAAUACAGCAUGAGUAUGAGUUUUGCAUUAUAUAUAUGUGACCCUGGGCCACAAAACCAGUCAUAAGUCACACGGGUAUAUUUGUAGCAAUAGCCAACAAUACAUUGUAUGGGUCAAAAUUAUCAAUUUUUCUUUUAUGCCAAAAAUCAUUAGGAUAUUAAGUAAAGAUCAUGUUCCAUGAAGAUGUUUUGUAAAUUUCCUACCGUAAAUAUAUCAAAAAUGUAUUUUUGUGAGUGGAUAUGCAUUGCUAAGGACUUCAUUUGGACAACUUUAAAGGCGAUUUUCUCAAUAUUUUGAUUUUUUUUGCACCCUCAGAUUCCAGAUAUUCAAAUAGUCGUAUCUUGGCCAAAUAUUGUCCUAUCCUAACAAACCAUGCAUCAAUAGAAAGCUUAUUUAUUUAGCUUUUUAGAUGAUGUAUAAAUCUCAAUUUCAAAAAUUUACCCUUAUGACUGGUUUUGUGGUCCAGGGUCACAUAUAUUUAUUUAUUUAACCAUUAAAAGGUAGUAAAUGACAUUUACAGCAUUGUGCACAGUGCCAGCAUGUGUUUGCCAAAUAAAAUGAGCAUUUCCAAUUUGGCUUCUAACAGUAACUGACACACCAAUUCAUUUUAAUAUAUGACUAUAUUUCUUCUCUACUCUGUAACUCUUAGUUCCAAAUCAUAACACUGCCCUAUGUCACAAGGAAAAACUUCAGACACAAUAUUUGUGCUUAAACUUUACAUCACCGGUGACAGAAAUGGGCUUUGAAGACUAUUCACAGUGCGGCGAUGUCACCACCAUGUCUUGGAUUGCCUUUGAGUUGCACCAUAUCGAACCCCUGCUGAUGUGGUUACCUUAGUCCCACAGUGGUGAGAUAGAAAAAGAUAUUUUAAGUAAAAAAAGAAAAUGAACAAAAAGCGAGCAAUAACUCUUCAUGUUUUCAGUCUUGUGGUGGAAUAUCCUCUUUUCUCCCGGGAAUGGCUUUUGUUCUAGCUGGAAUCAGAAUAUCAAUCAAAGCAAACUGUAAAUGAGACACAGAGGGAUGUGAAAGUAGUGCUGUUGCUAAUUGAUCAAUGGCUUGUUCAAGGACUUAAGAGUCUGACUGGUCUCAUUAGCUCAAAUGUACGGAGGUCUUUGAAUACGGCACCUUUCAGAGAAAACAUCGCCAGAGGGCAUUCUUACUCCCCUCAAAUAAAACUGCAACUGAAAAUA
Long non-coding RNA from Ctenopharyngodon idella (grass carp), 1837 nucleotides. RefSeq lists it as uncharacterized. Lineage: Eukaryota; Metazoa; Chordata; Actinopteri; Cypriniformes; Xenocyprididae. The transcript is spliced from 2 exons. The record is from RefSeq and is a predicted model, not a curated record.